AUGAAUGCUAAAUAUAAACUUGCUGGAGAUAAGGGUAGAAAACAUGUUGUGUUUGCACCUGGAGAUCUUGUUUGGUUACAUUUGCGUAAGGAUAGAUUUCCUAAUUUGCGCAAAUCAAAGCUAAUGCCACGUGCUGAUGGUCCUUUUAAGGUGUUAGAGAAAAUAAAUGAUAAUGCAUAUAAACUUGAGUUACCUGCAGAUUUUGGGGUUAGUCCCACUUUUAACAUUGCAGAUUUGAAGCCUUAUUUGGGUGAGGAAGAUGAGCUUCCGUCGAGGACGACUUCAUUUCAAGAAGGGGAGGAUGAUGAGGACAUCAAUACCAUUGUUACACCCACAACCCCUACUGUUACAUAUAAUGGACCAAUUACUAGAGCUCGCGCACGCCAAUUAAAUUACCAGGUACUUUCGUUUCUUGGUAAUGAUUCUAAUGUUCAUGAGAAUAUGAUGCUGCCUAAAUUGGAUACUUUUGUUUUGCUUACAAAUGAAGGGCCUGGAUUGGAGAAGGAUGAACAUUGGAGCAAGAACAAGCAUGGAGUUGAUGGCAUGCGCAAGGGGAACAAGAACGGAGUUACCAGUGAUGAUUUCAAGACUUUGAAGCCACCAUAA
This 606-nucleotide ribosomal RNA is filed under the name Triticum aestivum (bread wheat). RNAcentral's name for it is "partial small subunit ribosomal RNA". Lineage: Eukaryota; Viridiplantae; Streptophyta; Magnoliopsida; Poales; Poaceae. The record is from RNAcentral.